This 1157-nucleotide long non-coding RNA is filed under the name Piliocolobus tephrosceles (Ugandan red Colobus). Its description in RNAcentral is "lncRNA (ENSPTEG00000004857.1)". Lineage: Eukaryota; Metazoa; Chordata; Mammalia; Primates; Cercopithecidae. The record is from RNAcentral.
ACAGUUUGAAAAAGGAAUAAUACGAAAUGCCAUAGUUUCAACAAACUUAAAUAAGUACAUAAAAUUAGAAGAAAAAAAAAUAGAGAAAAAAAAUUAUAUAAUUUUCCGUGAACAAUGUGAAUAUUGUUUAACUAAUUUUUCUGUUAGUGGUCAUUUAAUUUUGACAAAAGAAUCAUUACUAUUUGAGCCUGAUUUAAGAGAUAAACAUGUGAUUAUGUAUGGUUUAGGUACAUAUCAGAUAUUUAUUGAUUUAUAUGACAUUUAUGAAUGUGCUCAUAUAGUUGUUCCAACUAAAAAUAUAUAUUUAUAUACCAAUGAAGAUACUUGUGGAUUUAUUCAAGUUUUAUUAAAAAGUAUUUAUAAUAGAAUAUGUGAUGAACCAUCAAUACGUAAUAGGAGUAGUUCAAGUUAUUCAAUCAAUAUUAAUUCAAGUAAUAAUACUAGUGAUGAUACUACAAAUAAACAAAAAGGAGUAUCAUAUUAUAAAUAUAUAAGUAAAAGUUUAUCAUAUGUAUUUAAUUUAGCUCAUCCAUUAAUGCAAAAUACAUCAUUAAAAGAUAAUAAAAAUGAUUUUAUUGAUAGACCUAAGUCACCAGUAAAUAUAUCUAAACAGUUUGGGAAUAGUAAUGAUCAUAAUAUUUUUAAGAAUAAUAAUAAUAAUAAUAAUAGUAGUAGUAGUAGUAAGAAAAAUAGUAGUAAUAGUAGUAGUAAUAAUAGUAGUAAUAAAAAUAACAGAAGUGAAUAUGAACGCCUAGAAACUUUAAACAAAACAAAACAAAACAAAAUUAUAAAUUUUGAUAUAACAUCACCGAAAAAUAAUAAUAUUAUUGAUCAUUUGCAUGAUAGUGAUAUGAAAAUUUACCAAAAAUUUAAUGAAACAAAUUAUAAUCAAGUAUAUUCCUCACAUCCUAAUAUAACUUAUAAAAAUAAUUUUAAUUUAGUUAAUUAUUCAAGUUAUUCUAAUGAUUUGGAAGAUGAUUCCAGUGAACAACAACAAAAAGAUCGGCAACAUCACCAACGUGAUCAGAAACAUGAUCAGAAACAUGAUCAGAAACAUGAUCAGAAACAUAAACAACAACAUGAACAACAACAUGAACAACAACAUAAACAACAACAUGAACAACAACAUGAACAACAACAUAAACAACAACAUGAAC